GACGUGUUGGAAUUCUUAAGAAUAGAGAGAAGCACAAGGGUAGCUUUGAGACAGUUCACAUUCAAGACUCCCUGGGGCAUGAGUUUGCUACCCGUUUGGGAAAUGUGUUCACUCUUGGCAAGGGUAGUAAGCCAUGGGUGUCUCUACCUAAGGGGAAAGGUAUCAAGUUAUCUAUCAUUGAAGAGGCUCGCAAGAGGAUGGCUGCCCAAUCAGCUACAACUGCUUAAAAAUCUUAGUUUGAACUUGAGAUGAGAUUAAUAGGUUGGGCCAUAUUUCUCUUUGUUUAGAGGGAUGCCGUUCUUAUUUUUGUGUGUUCCAUUUCAAUAUUUGUGUACUCGGUACUGUUUUACAUACAUUUUUUUGUCAGGAAAAAAGAAAGACUGAGUUGAGAUCAAUCAGUUGCCUUCUAUGUUAUAGUAUUUUAUUGCGACUGAGUUUAAGGACACCUUGUCCAUGAGUUUAUUAACUUAAUUCAAAAUGAGUUUUUGGUUGUAAUAUUUUUUAAACUGACCCGGAGUUGGAUUCCAAAUUUGGUAUUCUUCACUUAACCUGAUUCCUAAUUUUUUUUUGGUCAUUUAACUUCCGAUUAAGUUAGCUCUUUUGUCCUGCUAAUAGUAUAAUCAAACGCCACUGUCUAAUUUGUAAGAGUUAUUUGACUUGUUUCAUUAGAGUUAAAAUGAUAAGCUUAGUAAAAACUUAUUCAGCAGAACACUUAACUGACAGGGUACAAUCAAGUAUUAGUUAGUGACACUUGAACUCUCACGUCAAUUCCUUCACAAUAGUAAAUUAUUUCCUGCGUAAAGAAAUAAAAUGUUAUACUUUGAUUUCAAGCUUGAAAUAAGGAGAUACAUCUUAUUAUGUGUAUUUGCAACCAAAUUUAAACUUCCAUUUCAUAGCUUAAAUAUCGUCAUUUUAAAUAAAUAUAGAGGCUAUGUUUGUUGGGUCGCAUAAACAAAGUCAGCCCGUGUAAUUUGUUCGAUAAAUAAGGCCCAUAUUACAAGGCCCAACUUGCUUUAGGCCCAAAACAAAUUGGGCGCACGAGAUAUGUAGUAGAGUACAACAGAUUGUAUCUUCAUCUCAUUAGGGUUGAAGACACACGCCUCUCGCCGGUAGACGUCACUCUCGGCAGCUAAUCUGUCGGAAAACCGCCAAAAUGGUUAGUUUUCUCUCUCUCUGUUAAUUCAUCUCGUCAAUGUUGUUUAGAUUGUUAUUUGGUGCCUGAUAGAUCAGUUGUAUUUUAGUCUUAUUGGCUUUUUUUCCAGGUCUACACUGUAUGUAUCAGUUAUACCUUUGCUAAUUGUUUGCUAUAUGUGUAAUACAUCUGAUAUUAUAUUCUUGGUUGUUCCGUUCGAUUUAUGCUCUCAAUCGUAUCUGUUGAUCUCAAGUGGUGCUGGUUAAUAUCGUAUGUGUAAGUAAUCAAUUGCAUUUAGUUACUGUCGCCACUGGAUAUUAGUGUAUACAGUUUUUUAUAAUUGUAUUUUGCUUUCAUUGUGAUUGCUGUUGCACUCUGUGUUGUACUGUAUUCUAUUGGAUUGUUUUAAUGAAUACAACAUUUGGAUAGAUUUUAUGGUUCUACAGAUAGAGCUAAAAUAAGAUCAUUAAAUAAUUAGUAAAGACAUAGUGAGAAAAUAAAUAAAUCAGACAAAAUGGUCGCUACACAAAGUGAGACCGAUACCUAACUGUUAUUUUAAUGAUAGCUUAAGAUUUGCACAAUGAAAUUGUGUAGUAUAGUUCAAGUUAUUUACUCUAUGUAUUGAAAAAUUUGUUCUGUACCUUUGCGAAAGAACAUGCUUCUAAUGUUGUUUGACAUGGAUAGAUUUUAAAAGAACCUGUGGAACAGCUUCCCUUUAUAUUUUUGGUCAAUUGAUUUUUGUUCUAACUUCUAUCAGCUUUCAUUUAUAUUAAGUGGUAAAAUUUUUGCAUUUAGGCUGGAAACAUCAUACUAAUGUGAAUUUUGUAAUUUCUUGUCUAUAUAUAGGCAAGAGGGUUGAAGAAACAUUUAAAGAGGCUCAAUGCGCCUAAGCAUUGGAUGCUUGAUAAACUUGGAGGUGCUUUUGUAAGUGACAUGUCUUUCCCUUAAGUCUUUUUCUUAAUAGUACUCGUAGUUCCCUGCUUCUUGACUUCACUGCUCUCUUUGGUCUCUACUGCAGGCUCCCAAGCCUUCUUCUGGUCCACAUAAAUCAAGGGAAUGUUUGCCAUUGGUUAUUAUCCUGAGGAACAGGUUGAAAUAUGCGUUGACGUACCGUGAGGUCAUUUCUAUCUUGAUGCAACGCCAAGUUAUGGUUGAUGGGAAAGUUAGAACAGAUAAGACUUACCCUGCUGGUUUCAUGGGUAAGCACACCUCCAUUAGAGUGUUUUUCAUUUCAAAACCUUUAUACUUAUGUUUUCCUUAUUUCUGUACUGCCUAUGUUUGUAGUCUUACUGAUUCAUUUAUAUACACACGCUUUGACAGUUCCAAAGACAAUUGUUGUUGAGAGUGUCUUCAAGCUUUUUUAAUCAAAAAUCAUUUUUUAGUGUCUUUUUUUCUUGUUGCUAUGUUUGUUGAAUUCCUUGACAAAUUGGUAAUGCUGUUAUUUUCUCUGUGUAGACGUUGUUACUAUUCCAAAGACGAAUGAGAGCUUCCGACUUCUUUAUGACACUAAGGGUCGGUUCCGUCUACACUCACUCAGAGAUGAGGAAGCCAAGGUUUGAACCUGUUUCCUGCUUCUUCUUUGUUCCGGUUUGCUUUGGAUGCUGUGCUGUUAAAGUAGUGACCUUGUUUUCUGCUCUCUGCAGUUCAAACUUUGCAAGGUUCGAUCAGUGCAGUUUGGACAGAAGGGUAUCCCAUAUCUCAACACGUAUGAUGGAAGAACAAUCCGCUACCCCGAUCCCCUCAUCAAGGCCAAUGACACCAUCAAGCUGGACUUAGAUUCCAAUAAGAUUGUUGACUUCAUCAAGUUUGAUGUUGGUAAUGUGGUUAUGGUGACUGGUGGUAGAAACAGGGGACGUGUUGGAAUUCUUAAGAACAGGGAGAAGCACAAGGGUAGCUUUGAGACAGUUCACAUUCAGGAUUCCCUGGGGCAUGAGUUUGCUACCCGUUUGGGAAAUGUGUUCACUCUUGGUAAAGGUAGUAAGCCAUGGGUCUCUCUACCUAAGGGUAAAGGUAUCAAGUUAUCUAUCAUUGAAGAGGCUCGCAAGAGGAUGGCUGCUCAAUCAGCUACAACUGCUUAAAAAUGAUAGGUUGAACUUGAGAUGAAUUUAAUAGGUUGCGCUAUUUUUCUCUUUGUUUAGAGGGUUGCCACCUCUUAUUUUUGGUGUUGCAUUUCAACAUCCUAUGUACUCGGUAUUGUUUUACAUACCUUUUUUUGUCAGGAAAAAACAAUGACUGAGUUUAGACCAAUCAGUUGCCUUUUUAUGUGAUGGUAUUUCAUUGUAAGAGUUUAAGGACCUUGUCGAUGAGUUUAUUCACUUGUUUCAAAAUGAGUUUUUGGUUGUAAUAUCUUCAAAUCCAACCUGCUGUUGUAUUCCAAAGUUGGUGUAGUUCACUAAACCUGAUUCGUAAUUUCAUUUUCAUAAACUUCAAAUGAUGUGGGUUCUUUUGUCCUACUAAUUGUACAAUCAAACAUAAUUGUCGAAUUAUAUGUAUUUUCGGAAUCUCUUUCCUGAUGAUUUCUGAUUUUGAUGUAAUUUUGUUUGAGUUAAUGUCAUUAGAGUUAAAAAUGAGAAGUUCAGUCAUUGAUUAUAUAGUAGAUGACUCGAAUGAGUGAGAACAAUGAAGGAUUAAUAACACUUUGAUAUUGGUUCACUUAGUCCAUCUUUUGUAUUAAAAUGUAAGAACUAAGAAUCAUAUCCUCACAAACAUUAUGAAAAGAAAGUUAUCGUGGGGACAAAUUAUUGUCCAGAUGCAAUUAGUCUUGUAGUGACAACACUUCAAGGCAUACAAUCAACUAAAACUAUUUAGUUCAUAAAUAAUGAUUUCAUUUCUGCUAAUGUAAGUGCCCAACAAGCCAUUUUAUGUACAUGUACUUGAAUACAGAGUUUAAAGAAAUUUCACUGAAGAUCGAUGAUAUGAUAUGUUUGACAUGUCUAUUCAUUUUCCAUUUUAUACAAAGAACUUCAAUAUCAAGUGGUGCUUUGCAAAUGGUUAGUACAACAAAAAUGCUGAGCAUGUAGUAAGGUAUAUUAGGCACAAAUCAUCACUUAGUUGACAUAAAAAUGCACAACCAGGUCCGACUUAGUAGAAAUAAACAUGGUAUUUAAUGAAAGAGCAAAUAGAACCUAAAACAGAAUACAAAAUUUGCACGGUAAAUUCUCACAUCAAUUCAAUCACAAUAGUAAAUUAUUACCUGCAUAACAAAAUAGAAUGUUAUUUUUGGUUUUCAAGCUAGAUAUAAGGAGAUACAUCUUAGUAAGUGUAUUUGCUAACAAAUUCAAACUUCCAUUUCAUAGCUUAAACAUCUUUCUUUCAGAUAAAUAUAGAGGCUAUGUUUGUUGGGUCGCAUAAUUGUUCGAUAAAUAAGGCCCAUAUUCUAAAGUGGUUAAAUGGCCCAAUAUGCUAUAGGCCCAAAACAAAUUGGGCGCAUGAGGUAUGUAAUAUAGUAUUUAAGAGAUUGUAUCUUCAUCUCGUUAGGGUUUGAAGAGACACACCUCUCGCCGGUUGCCGUCACUCGCCGCAGUUAAUCAGUCGGGAAACCGCCAAAAUGGUUAGUUUUCUCUAUCUGUUUAUUAAUCUCGUUAAUUUUUUUAGAUUGUUAUUUGUUGCCUGAUUGAUCAGUUGUAUUUGAGUCUCCAUGGCUUUUGUUCCAGGUCUAGACAGUACUGUAUCAGUUAUACCUUUGCUAAUUGCUUGCUAUAUGUGUAAUUCAUGUAAUAUUAUAUUCUUGGCUGUGCUUUUCGAUUUAUGCGCUGAAAUGUAUGUGUUGAUCUCAAGUGGUGCUGGUUAAUUUUAGGGCUUGUAUGUGUAAAUAAUCAAUUACAUUAGUUACUGUCGCCAUUAGAUAUUAGUGUAUACAGUUUUUUUAGUUGUAUUUUGCUGUCAUUGUGAUUGCUGUUGCACUCUGUGUUGUACUGUAUCCUUCUUAAAAAAUUAAUUUUGUUACAAGAUAAGAUUACUAAAUAAUUAGUAAAGACAUAGUGAGAAAAUAAAUAGAUCAGGCCAAAUUGGUCGUUACACAAAGUAAGACAAAUCCCUUACUGCUGAUUUAAUGAUAGCUUGAGGUUUGGACAGUGGAAUUGUGUAGUAUAAGUUCAAGUUAUUUACUCGAUGCAUUGAAUAAUUGCUCUUUACCUUUGUGAAAAAACAAGCUUCUAUUGUUGUUUGACAUAGAUAGAUUAUAAUAAAAAGCUGUGGAAUAGCUCCCCUUUUUCUUUUUGGUAAAGUGACUUUUGUUCUUUCAGCUUUCAUUUAUAUAAGUGGUAAUAUUUUUGCAUUUAGGCUUUGGAAACAUCAUACUAAAGUGAAUUGUGUAACUUCUUGUCCAUAUAUAGGCAAGAGGGUUGAAGAAACAUUUGAAGAGGCUCAAUGCGCCUAAGCAUUGGAUGCUUGAUAAACUUGGAGGUGCUUUUGUAAGUGACAUGUCUUUCCCUAUAGUCUUUUUUUUGAUAGUACUACUUAGUUUCCUCCUUCUUGACUUUACUUUUCUCCUUGGUUUCUACUGCAGGCUCCCAAGCCUUCUUCUGGUCCACAUAAAUCAAGGGAAUGUUUGCCAUUGGUUAUUAUCCUGAGGAACAGGUUGAAAUAUGCGUUGACGUACCGUGAGGUCAUUUCUAUCUUGAUGCAACGCCAAGUUAUGGUUGAUGGGAAAGUUAGAACAGAUAAGACUUACCCUGCUGGUUUCAUGGGUAAGAACACCUCUAUUAGAGUGUCUUUCAUUUCAAAACCUUUAGAUUUAUGUUCUCCUUAUUUCUGUACUGUCUAGGUUUGCGGUCUUACUGAUUCAUCUAUAUACACAUGCUUUCACAGAUCCAAAGACCAUUGUUGAUGAGAGUGUAUUCAAGCUUUUUUAUCAAAAAUUAUUGUCUCAGUGUCCUUUUUUCUUAUUUUUUUUCUUGUUGCUAUGUUUGUUGAAUUCCUUGACAAAUUGGUAAUGCUUUUAUUUUGUUUGUGUAGAUGUUGUUACUAUUCCAAAGACAAAUGAGAGCUUCCGACUUCUUUAUGACACUAAGGGUCGGUUCCGCCUCCACUCACUCAGAGACGAGGAAGCCAAGGUUUGAACCUGUAUCCUGCUUCUUCUUUGUUCCGGUUUGCUUUGGCUGUGCUGCUUAAGUAGUGACCUUGUUUUCUGCUCGCAGUUCAAACUUUGCAAGGUUCGAUCAGUCCAGUUUGGACAGAAGGGUAUCCCAUAUCUCAACACAUAUGAUGGAAGAACAAUCCGCUACCCUGAUCCCCUCAUCAAGGCCAAUGACACCAUCAAGCUGGACUUAGAUUCCAAUAAGAUUGUUGACUUCAUCAAGUUUGAUGUUGGUAAUGUGGUUAUGGUUACUGGUGGUAGAAACAGGGGACGUGUUGGAAUUCUUAAGAAUAGAGAGAAGCACAAGGGUAGCUUUGAGACAGUUCACAUUCAGGAUUCCCUGGGGCAUGAGUUCGCUACCCGUUUGGGGAAUGUGUUCACUCUUGGUAAAGGUAGUAAGCCAUGGGUGUCUUUACCUAAGGGUAAAGGUAUCAAGUUAUCUAUUAUUGAAGAGGCUCGCAAGAGGAUGGCUGCUCAAUCAGCUACAACUGCUUAAUAAUCAUAGGUUGAACUUGAGAUUAAUUUAAUAGAUUUGGUCAUUUUUCUCUUUGUUUAGAGGGAUGCCGUUCUUAUUUUUUGUGUUGCAUUUCAACAUCUGUGUACUUGGUACUAUUUUACAUACCUUUUUUUGUCAGGAAAAAAGAAAGACUCAGUUGAGAUCAAUCAGUUGCCUUUUAUGUGAUAGUAUUUUAUUGUUACAGUUUAUGAUCUUUGUCGAUGAGUUUAUUCACUUAUUUCAAAAUGUGUUUUUGGUUGUAAUAUCUUUAAAUCCAACCUGGUGUUGGAUUCCAAAUUUGGUAUAGUGCACUAAACUUGAUUCCUACUUCCUUUUUCGUAAACUUCAAAUGAAGUGGUUUCUUUUGUCCUGCAAAUAGUAUAAUCAAACAUAAUUGUCUAAUUUGAUAUAUUUUCCGAAUCUCUUGCCAGUUAAUUUCUGAUUUUGAUGUAAUUUUGUUUGAGUGGUGUCAUUAGAGUUAAAAUGAGAAGUUAAGUCAUAAAUUAUACAGACUUAACUGAGUGAGUGCAACCAAGGAUUAAUUACACUUGAUAUUGGUUUACAUAGUCCAUCUUUUGUAUUAAAAUGUAAGAAAUAAGAAUCAAUUAAACAUGAUAUUGGUUUACAUAGUUCAUCUUUUUUAUUAAAAUGUAAGAAAUAAGAAUCAUAUCCUCAACGAUGAAAUGAAAGUUAUCGUAUUGUCAGAUGCAAGUGACAACUCUUCAAGGCAAACGAUCAACUAAAACUAUUUAGUUAAAAAAUAGUGAUUUUAUUUCUGCUAAUGUAAGUGCCCAAAGCCAUUUUAUGUAUAGGUAAGUGAAUACAAAGUUUAAAGAAAUUCUCUCUGAAAAUCAAUGAUAUUUAUAUGUUUGACAUAUCUAUUCAUUUUCCAUUUUAUACAAAAAGAACUUCAAUAUCAAGUUAGUACAACAAAAAUGCUGAGCAUGUAGUUAGUCAUAUUAGGCACAAAUCAUCACUUAGUAGACAUAAAAUUACACAACCAGAUACGACUUAGUAGAAAUAAACAUAGUGUUUAACCAAAGAGCAAAUAGAAUCUAAAACAGUAUACGAAAUAUGCACGGUAAAUUCUCACAUCAAUUCAAUCACAAUAGUAAUUAUUGCCUGCAUAACAAAAUAGAAUGUUAGACUUUUGGUUUUCAAGCUAGAAAAUUCAAACUUCUUUCUUUCAGAUAAAUAUAGAGGCUAUGUUUGUUGGGUCGCAUAAUUGUUUGAUAAAUAAGGCCCAUAUUCUAUAGGCCCAAAACAAAUUGGGCGCAUGAGGUAUGUAAUAUAGUAUUUAACAGAUUGUAUCUUCAUCUCGUUAGGGUUUAAGACACACACCUCUCGCCGGUAGCCGUUACUCGCCGCAGCUAAUCAGUCGGAAAACCGCCAAAAUGGUUAGUUUUCUCUCUCUGUUAAUUCAUCUCGUCAAUUUUGUUUAGCUUGUUAUUUGUUGCCUGAUAGAUCAGUUGUAUUUUAGUCUUCAUGGCUUUUGUUCCAGGUCUACACUGUACUGUAUUAGUUAUACCUUUGCUAAUUGCUUGCUAUAUGUGUAAUUCAUCUAAUUCUUGGCUGUUCCUUUCGAUUUAUGCGCUCAAAUGUAUGUGUUGAUCUCAAGUGGUGCUGGUUAAUUUUAAGGCUCGUAUGUGUAAAUAAUCAAUUACAUUAGUUACUGUCGCCAUUAGAUAUUAGUGUAUACUGCUUUUUUAGUUGUAUUUUGCUGUCAUUUUGAUUGCUAUUGCACUCUAUGUUGUACUGUAUCAUACUGUUUUAAUGAAUUCAACAUUUGGAAAGAUUUUAUGGUUCUACAGUUAGAGCUACUUUAAUAAGUUGAUUUUAGUACAAAAUAAUAUUACUAAAUAAUUAGUAAAGAAAUAGUGAGAAAUUAAAUAAAUCGGACGAAAUUGGUCGUUACACAAGGUGAGUUGGUGAGAUGAGACGGAUACCUAACUGUUCUUUUAAUGAUAGCUUAAGAUUUGGACAGUGAAAUUGUGUAAUAUUGUUCAAGUUGUUGACGUAUUGAAAAAUUGUUCUUUACGCUUGUGAAAGAACAUGCAUCUAGCGUUGUUUAACAUAGAUAGAUUAUAAUAAAAAGCUGUGGAAUAGCUCCCCUUUUUCUUUUUGGUUAAGUGACUUUUGUUCUUUCAGCUUUCAUUUAUAUAAGUGGUAAUAUUUUUGCAUUUAGGCUUUGGAAACAUCAUACUAAAGUGAAUUGUGUAACUUCUUGUCCAUAUAUAGGCAAGAGGGUUGAAGAAACAUUUGAAGAGGCUCAAUGCGCCUAAGCAUUGGAUGCUUGAUAAACUUGGAGGUGCUUUUGUAAGUGACAUGUCUUUCCCUAUAGUCUUUUUUUUGAUAGUACUACUUAGUUUCCUCCUCCUUGACUUUACUCUUCUCCUUUGUUUCUACUGCAGGCUCCCAAGCCUUCUUCUGGUCCACAUAAAUCAAGGGAAUGUUUGCCAUUGGUUAUUAUCCUGAGGAACAGGUUGAAAUAUGCGUUGACGUACCGUGAGGUCAUUUCUAUCUUGAUGCAACGCCAAGUUAUGGUUGAUGGGAAAGUUAGGACAGAUAAGACUUACCCUGCUGGUUUCAUGGGUAAGAACAGCUCCAUUAGAUUGUUUUUUCAUUUCAUAAUCUUUAGAUUUUUGUUCUCCUUAUUUCUGUGCUGCUUAGGUUUGUUAUCUUAGUGAUUCAUCUAUACACAUGGUUUCACAGUUCCGAAGACAAUUGUUGAUCAGAUUGUCUACAAGCUUUUUUAUCAAAAACCAUUGUCUCGUGUCCUUUUUCUUCUUUGUUCUCUUGUUGCUAUGUUUGUUGAAUUCCUUGAUAAAUUGGUAAUGCUGUUAUUUUGUUUGUGUAGAUGUUGUUACUAUUCCAAAGACGAAUGAGAGCUUCCGACUUCUUUAUGACACUAAGGGUCGGUUCCGUCUCCACUCACUCAGAGAUGAGGAAGCCAAGGUUUGAAUCUGUUUCCUGCUUCUUCUUUAUUCCGGUUUGCUUUGGAUGCUGUGCUGUUAAAGUAGUGACCUUGUUUCUGCUCUUUGCAGUUCAAACUUUGUAAGGUUCGAUCAGUGCAGUUUGGACAGAAGGGGAUCCCAUAUCUCAACACUUAUGAUGGAAGAACAAUCCGCUACCCUGAUCCCCUCAUCAAGGCCAAUGACACUAUCAAGCUUGACUUAGAUUCGAACAAGAUUGUUGACUUCAUCAAGUUUGAUGUUGGAAAUGUGGUCAUGGUUACUGGUGGUAGAAACAGGGGACGUGUUGGAAUUCUUAAGAACAGGGAGAAGCACAAGGGUAGCUUUGAGACAGUUCACAUUCAGGACUCCCUGGGGCACGAGUUUGCUACUCGUCUGGGCAAUGUGUUCACUCUUGGCAAGGGUAGUAAGCCAUGGGUGUCUCUACCUAAGGGUAAAGGUAUCAAGUUAUCUAUCAUUGAAGAGGCUCGCAAGAGGAUGGCUGCUCAGUCAGCUACAGCUGCUUAAAAUGUCUAGGUUGGACUUAUGAUGAAUUUAACAGGUUGGGCCAUGAUUCUCACUGUUUAGAGAUACCAA
RNAcentral lists this long non-coding RNA (10253 nucleotides) under Solanum lycopersicum (tomato). Its description in RNAcentral is "long non-coding RNA (SLYC_LNC001184)". The record is from RNAcentral. Lineage: Eukaryota; Viridiplantae; Streptophyta; Magnoliopsida; Solanales; Solanaceae.